RNAcentral lists this long non-coding RNA (570 nucleotides) under Cricetulus griseus (Chinese hamster). RNAcentral describes it as "lncRNA (ENSCGRG00015039535.1)". Lineage: Eukaryota; Metazoa; Chordata; Mammalia; Rodentia; Cricetidae. The record is from RNAcentral.
CUAUUAUACAGCCAGGCUCAGUCGCCAUGGCUCACACAAUGACCCUUCUGAUCUGGCCACAACAGCCGGAAUGGGUGCCAAGGCUUCAGUCCCCACCCACUGCAGACUUAGGUAUGCACUUCGAGUAUAUUUGCUCUUUCCUCCCCAAAAGAGGGGGAUUGAAUGCACCCCUAGAACACAUACUCCGUUUCAAGACAAACAAGACUAACUGGAGCAAACCACCUGCAAGCGCAGCUCCGGGUCUUUCCGGCCUCCUGGGAAGACAUUCCAGAUAGUGACUCUGGGACGUCAUCCAUUUAUAUCAGUGAAGGAACUUGAGAUAACUGCGCAGACGCAGCCAACACUUCCUUUUUUUAGAAGCCACCAAAAUGACUGAAGUGAAGCAGCAGAAGAAGCAGACAUUCUGCAAGUUCACCUACCGUGGUGUGGACCUGGACCAACUGCUGGACACGUCCUUUGAGCAGCUGAUGCAGCUGUACAGCACCCGACAGAGGCGACGUCUGAACCGUGGCCUGCAUUGGAAGCCACACUUGCUACUCGGGCACCUGAGAAAGGCCAAGAAGGAGGCGC